Molecule: non-coding RNA, 267 nt
Organism: Cinara cedri
Lineage: Eukaryota; Metazoa; Arthropoda; Insecta; Hemiptera; Aphididae
Source: the annotation of a GenBank genome assembly
ACCAUAACCGUCAGGCACCGUCAAUCGGUAUAAUAUGUUUCCGCAUAGAUAUAAUUUGUAUAAAAUAAAUAUCGAACAAAUAAACAAUAAAGAACUAUUUUUUACACACGCUGUAACAGUUUUAAAACAUAUUACGUCACGAUAGGUCUAUUCAGAGUCGCAUCCGGUCAACUGCGUAUUGUGGGCAACACGACCGUCGAUCAUCCUUUUGAUAAACAGACCACUGCGCGCUCGCGUUAUAAAUUUUACGUGAGCACAAAUAUUAUU